CCGCCCAUAGCUCAAUGGACAGAGCAACUCCGUUCUAAGGAGAAGGUUGGGGGUCCAAGUCCCUCUGGGCGGA
This 73-nucleotide transfer RNA is filed under the name Candidatus Sungiibacteriota bacterium. RNAcentral describes it as "Candidatus Sungbacteria bacterium tRNA-Arg". It matches the Rfam family "tRNA". From Rfam's summary of the family: Transfer RNA (tRNA) molecules are approximately 80 nucleotides in length. Their secondary structure includes four short double-helical elements and three loops (D, anti-codon, and T loops). Further hydrogen bonds mediate the characteristic L-shaped molecular structure. tRNAs have two regions of fundamental functional importance: the anti-codon, which is responsible for specific mRNA codon recognition, and the 3' end, to which the tRNAs corresponding amino acid is attached (by aminoacyl-tRNA synthetases). tRNAs cope with the degeneracy of the genetic code in two manners: having more than one tRNA (with a specific anti-codon) for a particular amino acid; and 'wobble' base-pairing, i.e. permitting non-standard base-pairing at the 3rd anti-codon position. Lineage: Bacteria; Candidatus Sungiibacteriota. The record is from RNAcentral.